UACGAGGGGGGCAAGCGUUGUUCGGAAUUAUUGGGCGUAAAGGGCGCGUAGGCGGUUUGACAAGUCUGAUGUGAAAUCUCUGGGCUCAACCCAGAGUCUGCAUUAGAAACUGUCGGGCUUGAGUAUGGGAGAGGUGAGUGGAAUUUCCGGUGUAGCGGUGAAAUGCGUAGAUAUCAGGAGGAACACCGGUGGUGUAGACGGCUUUCUGGACCGUAACUGACGCUGAGACACGAAAGCGUGGGUAGCAAACAG
This 252-nucleotide ribosomal RNA is filed under the name uncultured bacterium. Its description in RNAcentral is "partial 16S ribosomal RNA". It matches the Rfam family "Bacterial small subunit ribosomal RNA", at positions 524 to 775 of the family's 1533-position model. The record is from RNAcentral.